Non-coding RNA from Zootermopsis nevadensis, 74 nucleotides. The record is from Rfam. Lineage: Eukaryota; Metazoa; Arthropoda; Insecta; Blattodea; Termopsidae.
GCCACGGUGGUCUAGCGGUUAGAACGCUGGUCUUGUAAUCCUGGGUGUCCCGGGUUUGAUUCCCGGCGGUGCCC